Molecule: long non-coding RNA, 141 nt
Organism: Sapajus apella (tufted capuchin)
Lineage: Eukaryota; Metazoa; Chordata; Mammalia; Primates; Cebidae
Exons: 3
Source: RefSeq, a predicted model, not a curated record
UGACCAACCAAUUUAGAGCCCAUUUUCUUCCAAAAAUAUUUGCCUUCUCAAAAUUGAAACACAUUUUACAUUGAAUUAAGUGAUGUUCUGUGAAACCAGGGCCGUUUGAUAAAAAUAGUGACUACUUUCAAGGGUCAUUAU